CUGCCUGGUUGGAAGAGACCUUGAAGGUGAUUGAGUCCAACCAUUAACCCAGCACUGCCUGUUUGGAAGAGACCUUAAAGGUGAUUGAGUCCAACCAUCAACUCAGCACUGCCUGUUUGGAAGAGACCUUAAAGGUGAUUGAGUCCAACCAUCAACCCAGCACUGUCUGUUUGGAAGAGACUUUGAAGGUGAUUGAGUCCAACCAUCAACCCAGCACUGCCUGUUUGGAAGAGACCUUGAAGGUGAUUGAGUCCAACCAUCAACCCAGCACUGCCUGUUUGGAAGAGACCUUGAAGGUGAUUGAGUCCAACCAUUAACCCAGCACUGCCUGUUUGGAAGAGACCUUGAAGGUGAUUGAGUCCAACCAUCAACCCAGCACCACCAAGUCCACCACUAAACCAUGUUCUCCAGGACCACAUCUUCACAGCUUUGAAACCUUUCCAGGACUGGGGACUUCACCACUCUCUGGACAGCUUGGGACAGACCUUGACACGGUCCAGAGGAUUUUUUGACUCCUGGUGGUCCAGAUAUGAUCAGUGCAACUUAGGGAGGAGUCUUCAAGCAUGCCAAGCACCUACAGAAGAGCAAUGGCAGCUUAAUGAACCAACUUGUUGAGCUGCUCCUGAGCUCUGCCUGCAGCCACACAACAGCUGCUCACCUCAGCAACUGCAGAACGGUGGAGCUGGCAGCCUGCAUGGCUCCUGUCAGCUGAAAUGAUGAUGGAACACAACUGGCCACUUGGAACGAAGGCAAGCAAGCUUUCUGGAGAUGAACUGGUGGAGCUACAGGCUGUAAACUUCCAUCCUUG
Pogoniulus pusillus (Red-fronted tinkerbird) is the source of this 808-nucleotide long non-coding RNA. RefSeq lists it as uncharacterized. The transcript is spliced from 3 exons. The record is from RefSeq and is a predicted model, not a curated record. Lineage: Eukaryota; Metazoa; Chordata; Aves; Piciformes; Lybiidae.